AGCCGCGGUAAUACGGAGGAUCCAAGCGUUAUCCGGAAUCAUUGGGUUUAAAGGGUCCGUAGGCGGGAUAAUAAGUCAGUGGUGAAAGUCUGCAGCUUAACUGUAGAAUUGCCAUUGAUACUGUUGUUCUUGAAUUAUUAUGAAGUGGUUGGAAUGAGUAGUGUAGCGGUGAAAUGCAUAGAUAUUACUCAGAACACCUAUCGCGAAGGCAGAUCACUAAUAAUAUAUUGACGCUGAUGGACGAAAGCGUAGGUAGCGAACAGGAUUAGAUACCCUGGUAGUCUACGCCGUAAACGAUGGUUACUAGCUGUCCGGCCCAAUUGAGGGCUGGGUGGUUAAGCGAAAGUGAUAAGUAACCCACCUGGGGAGUACGUUCGCAAGAAUGAAACUCAAAGGAAUUGACGGGGGCCCGCACAAGCGGUGGAGCAUGUGGUUUAAUUCGAUGAUACGCGAGGAACCUUACCAGGGCUUAAAUGCAGUUGGACAGGUCUGGAAACAGACCCUUCUUCGGACUAAUUGCAAGGUGCAGCAUGGUUGUCGUCAGCUCGUGCCGUGAGGUGUCAGGUUAAGUCC
RNAcentral lists this ribosomal RNA (573 nucleotides) under uncultured Christiangramia sp. RNAcentral describes it as "bacterial SSU rRNA". It matches the Rfam family "Bacterial small subunit ribosomal RNA", at positions 513 to 1087 of the family's 1533-position model. The record is from RNAcentral. Lineage: Bacteria; Pseudomonadati; Bacteroidota; Flavobacteriia; Flavobacteriales; Flavobacteriaceae.